This 29-nucleotide small RNA is filed under the name Sinorhizobium meliloti 2011. RNAcentral describes it as "putative ncRNA". The record is from RNAcentral. Lineage: Bacteria; Pseudomonadati; Pseudomonadota; Alphaproteobacteria; Hyphomicrobiales; Rhizobiaceae.
CACACGGCCCUGUAGAAAGCGGGUGAUCU